UAGGUAAUUAGCCUUUCCCCAACUGACCUU
RNAcentral lists this non-coding RNA (30 nucleotides) under Rattus norvegicus (Norway rat). The record is from RNAcentral. Lineage: Eukaryota; Metazoa; Chordata; Mammalia; Rodentia; Muridae.